CAGCACGGGGGCACCCUGGUGGCGAGUGGCGAACGGGUGAGUAAUACAUCGGAACGUGUCCUGUAGUGGGGGAUAGCCCGGCGAAAGCCGGAUUAAUACCGCAUACGCUCUACGGAGGAAAGGGGGGGAUCUUAGGACCUCUCGCUACAGGGGCGGCCGAUGGCAGAUUAGCUAGUUGGUGGGGUAAAGGCCUACCAAGGCGACGAUCUGUAGCUGGUCUGAGAGGACGACCAGCCACACUGGGACUGAGACACGGCCCAGACUCCUACGGGAGGCAGCAGUGGGGAAUUUUGGACAAUGGGCGCAAGCCUGAUCCAGCAAUGCCGCGUGUGUGAAGAAGGCCUUCGGGUUGUAAAGCACUUUUGUCCGGAAAGAAAACGUCGUGGUUAAUACCCGUGGCGGAUGACGGUACCGGAAGAAUAAGCACCGGCUAACUACGUGCCAGCAGCCGCGGUAAUACGUAGGGUGCAAGCGUUAAUCGGAAUUACUGGGCGUAAAGCGUGCGCAGGCGGUCCGCUAAGACAGAUGUGAAAUCCCCGGGCUUAACCUGGGAACUGCAUUUGUGACUGGCGGGCUAGAGUAUGGCAGAGGGGGGUAGAAUUCCACGUGUAGCAGUGAAAUGCGUAGAGAUGUGGAGGAAUACCGAUGGCGAAGGCAGCCCCCUGGGCCAAUACUGACGCUCAUGCACGAAAGCGUGGGGAGCAGACAGGAUUAGAUACCCUGGUAGUCCACGCCCUAAACGAUGUCAACUAGUUGUCGGGUCUUCAUUGACUUGGUAACGUAGCUAACGCGUGAAGUUGACCGCC
RNAcentral lists this ribosomal RNA (806 nucleotides) under Paraburkholderia sp. RNAcentral describes it as "bacterial SSU rRNA". It matches the Rfam family "Bacterial small subunit ribosomal RNA", at positions 70 to 873 of the family's 1533-position model. The record is from RNAcentral. Lineage: Bacteria; Pseudomonadati; Pseudomonadota; Betaproteobacteria; Burkholderiales; Burkholderiaceae.